Non-coding RNA from Myotis davidii, 75 nucleotides. NCBI's taxonomy places the organism in Eukaryota, Metazoa, Chordata, Mammalia, Chiroptera, Vespertilionidae. The record is from Rfam.
GGCAGUUCUCAAGUGAUGCACCCUGGAAUCAGGCGCCCCCCUCUCUGGUUCCGAGUGUGUCACCUGAGAACCACU